AGAGAAUCGUUUGAACCCGGGAGGUGGAGGUUGCAGUGAGCCGAGAUCGUGCCAUUGUACUCCAACCUGGGCGACAGGG
Molecule: small nuclear RNA, 79 nt
Filed under: Homo sapiens (human)
Lineage: Eukaryota; Metazoa; Chordata; Mammalia; Primates; Hominidae
Description: partial ncRNA
Source: RNAcentral